This 2115-nucleotide ribosomal RNA is filed under the name Triticum aestivum (bread wheat). Its description in RNAcentral is "partial small subunit ribosomal RNA". Lineage: Eukaryota; Viridiplantae; Streptophyta; Magnoliopsida; Poales; Poaceae. The record is from RNAcentral.
AUGGCAUCGAGCACCGGGGUGAAUGCUCCACCGGUGACCAUGGAAGCCAAGAUGAUUGUGGCCACAGGCCAUGAUCAUUGCCAGCAGUUGAAGGAUAUGCUCAGCAAGGCGGAUCCUUCGACCAUGGUGGUGGUGAUGGCCUCAAGCAACCAGACUUCCACGCCCAAGCCCCACACGCCAGUCAUGGACUCCCGGCUACUAGCAGCAGCUUGCUCUGGCUCUUCCCAGGAUCUGGAAUCACUUCUCAAUGGGGAAAACCUUCAAGCCUCGAGGGAAGAGACCAUUGGAAGCUCGGUGAUGCGGAGAGCUUCUGGUGAUGAAGAAGCAUUUCUCAGGGAGUCGCUCCUCGAUGCGGUCACAGUUCAUGGUGACACUCUUCUCCACGUUGUGGCUGCCAGCCAUGAUUAUGGCGAGGACUUCCUGAAGAAAGCUCGUAUCAUACACAUCAAGGCACAAAACCUCCUAUUAGUGCAGACUAACAAGGGGGAUACACCCUUGCACUGUGCUGCACGGGCAGGAAACUCCCAAAUGGUGUCUCUUCUUAUUGAUCUUGCCAAAGGUCAGGAUAACAAUCCUAACAGAUUGAAGGCGCUGCUUGAAACAGAAAACAAGGCCAAGGAGACAGCAUUGCAUGAAGUUGUCCGCUUUGCGCACAAUGAUAUAGUCAAGUUGCUUAUGGAGGAGAACCAUGAAUUGGCCAGUUUGCCCAAACAUGGGACUUCACCGUUGUACCUAGCCAUCUUACUGGAAAAUAAAAUCAUCGCCAAAACAAUUUACGAGUUUAGCAAGGGGUUUCUUUCAUACUCUGGACCAAAUGGACAAAAUGCAUUGCAUGCUGCUGUUCUCCGAGGCAAAGAUCUUACAAAGAUGUUGUUAGAAUGGAACAUCGACCUUACGAUACAACGGGAUGAAAAGGGAAAUACACCUCUUCACUUUGCCGCAGCUGUGGAACAACGAUUUUACAAUACAAUGGGACGAAGUAUACGCUUACAUCUAUUGAAAGCCAAUUCCGAAGCUUUGUAUCAGUCAGACCACAAUGGAUCAUUUCCUACACAUGUGGCUGCAUCCAUUGGUGCAACAUGGGCCAUCCGUGAUUUUCUGAAGAAGUCACUCAAUUGUGCUGGUUUGCGUGAUGCUAGGGGAAGGACAUUUCUUCAUGUUGCAGUUGGCAAAAUGAACAUGACGACAGUCUAUUAUGCUUGUAGAAAUCGGUCAUUGUCAUGGAUCUUGAAUAUGCAAGACAACGAUGGGAACACUGCACUGCACCUAGCUGUCAAGGCAGGCAGUCUUAGAGUGUUUUGCCCGCUAUUCGGGAAUAGACAAGUACAGUUGAAUUUAACAAAUGAGAAAGGGGAGACUCCGCUAGAUAUAGCAUAUCACAAUCUUCCAAAAAGAGGAAUCUAUUACAACCAGAAUAGUGAAGCAAAAAUACAGCUCGCACUUGAAUUUGCCGGUGCUAAAAGGGGUGUUUUUCGCAUGGAUUAUUUUGAAGAAUAUGAUAUUGUCCAAGCAAGACAGGAUGAAAAACAUCAAAUGGAGAUGGUGAAAGACAUGACACAAAAUCUAUGUAUUGGCUCGGUCCUAAUUGCAACUGUGACGUUUGGUGCAAGUUUUGCCAUGCCUGGAGGUUAUAGAGCCGAUGACCAUACUAAUGGAGGCACCCCAACACUUGCUGGGAGGUAUGCCUUUGAUGCAUUCACCCUAGCCAACGCACAUGCCUUUACACUCUCCACGAUGGCUAUAAUUUCUCUCAUGUCUUCUGGAUCUCCCUUGCAUAACACUCGCACCCGGAAAUUGAACUUACGCAUGGCCUUCUAUUUCAUGUUGAUAUCGAUUACAAGCUUGGUGGUUGCCUUUGCAAUUGGUAUCUAUAUGAUGCUAGCUCCAGUUGCUCAUAAGACUGCUGUUGCAGUAUGCGUCUUGAGUUCCCUUGCAUUGUUCUAUCAAAAUUUGGACUUCAUAGUCAAGAACAUUGUUCUGAUAGGACCAUUAUGUAUGAGAAAGGGGAUAGCCUACACAUUCAUACUUUCAACAUUCUCCAUCAUGAGCAAUGUUGUAUUAGAACAUUGGCCCAUAUUAGUCAUCUUUUGUUCUACUGGAAGAAACUACCAUUAG